UCCCUCGGGUGCAAGCGUUAAUCGGAAUUACUGGGCGUAAAGCGCGCGUAGGCCGUCGAGUAAGUCGGAUGUGAAAUCCCCGGGCUUAACCUGGGAAUUGCAUUCGAUACUGCUUGACUAGAGUGUGGAAGAGGGAAGCGGAAUUUCCGGUGUAGCGGUGAAAUGCGUAGAUAUCGGAAGGAACACCAGUGGCGAAGGCGGCUUCCUGGUCCAACACUGACGCUGAGGCGCGAAAGCGUGGGGAGCGAACAGG
Molecule: ribosomal RNA, 253 nt
Filed under: uncultured bacterium
Lineage: Bacteria
Description: partial 16S ribosomal RNA
Rfam family: Bacterial small subunit ribosomal RNA
Source: RNAcentral